This 1000-nucleotide long non-coding RNA is filed under the name Homo sapiens (human). RNAcentral describes it as "HSALNT0407089". Lineage: Eukaryota; Metazoa; Chordata; Mammalia; Primates; Hominidae. The record is from RNAcentral.
CUGUCUCAAAAAAAAAAAAAAAAAAAGAAAAAAAAAGUAUACACUGAUAAGAAUUCUUCAAAUUGAAGAUUAUGUUCUUAUGUCUACCCAGUCUUUCCUUUUUCCUUUCCUUCGGACUCCAACUAGAACAGCAAGGAGCAGAGACAAAGACAAACUAGUCCUUAAAAUGCUGUUAUGGAGACAAAAUGACACCAAACAAGUCCACUCUGUGAAUUGGUUAUGCUGUAAAUUAAUCUUUGUCUAAAUGGCCUUUGACAAACCGACUGACUCCUAGCUGACCUCCUUAGACAUACCCAGUAUCCCAAGUGAAGCUGUUUCAUCGUUUUUUGUUUGUUUGUUUUAAAGACAGGAGGUCUUUCUGUGUUGCCCAGGAUGGACUCCAAUUUCCUGGCUCAAGCGAUCCUCCUGCCUCCGCCUCCCAAGUAGCUGGGACUACAGGUGCUUGCCUGGCUUGCUUCACCAUUUUCAAGUCUCAGAACAUGGGAUCAAUCUUAGACCCAAAGGAGGAUGCUUCUCAGAAACACUCUCUGUCCUGCCGUACGUCUGUCUAAACUCCUCUAGCAAUUCCGAUGUGAAAAGAAGAUGGAUGGAGAAGCACUGAUUCAGCCAUGGCUGACAUGUCGGAGUUGGAAUGGACAGUGCCCGGACCUCACAGUCUCAGAGAACUGGAGAAGAGUAAAGCUGAAGAGGGCAUCAUCUGGUUACAAAUGACAAGUCCAGGGCUCCAGAACUCAGGCCAUGUAGAGAGGCCACAUGGGAACUGAGGUUCCUAGUCCUCAGCUUCCACUGAGCUCCCAGCCAACAGCCAGCAAUAACUUGCCAGAUGUGUGCACAGGCCAUCCUGGAAGCAGAGGAUCCAGCCCUCAGCCAAGAUGCCCCAGUUGAUUCCAUGUGAACUAGGAAUGAGCCCUCCUGCUGAGCUCUGCCCAAAUUACAGAUCUGUGAGCAAACUAAAUGACAGUUGUAUUAAGCUACACAGAAAUAGAUAACUGGAAUACCA